AAGGGAGACCUAAUUCAGGUAGGAGACGAAAAAAAAGUAGUCGCUACCAAGAAUCAAUCCCAAAAGGUCGGAGCGAGGCGAAAUUGGCUUUCAAACUAGGUUCUGGGUUCAAACAAGACCUGAAUCGGGAACAAGGGCUAUUAGCUCAGGUGGUUAGAGCGCACCCCUGAUAAGGGUGAGGUCCCUGGUUCGAGUCCAGGAUGGCCCACCUGCACAGGUGGCAAAAACAAGAGAAGCGAGGAAUCAGCACCUUAUCUUAUUUAUAUAGUAAGAGAGAAUGCUGGCUCUGAGUUCAGAGUCCAGAGGAACCUUGAAAACUGCAUAGAGCUAGGUGAAAAAGCCAAAAAAGAAGACCGCAA
RNAcentral lists this transfer RNA (359 nucleotides) under Microcystis sp. AICB 36. RNAcentral's name for it is "16S-23S ribosomal RNA intergenic spacer". The stretch from base 135 to 208 matches the Rfam family "tRNA". RNAcentral also lists the same sequence under 1 other name. The record is from RNAcentral. Lineage: Bacteria; Bacillati; Cyanobacteriota; Cyanophyceae; Chroococcales; Microcystaceae.